This 753-nucleotide ribosomal RNA is filed under the name uncultured archaeon. RNAcentral describes it as "bacterial SSU rRNA". It matches the Rfam family "Bacterial small subunit ribosomal RNA", at positions 102 to 924 of the family's 1533-position model. The record is from RNAcentral.
ACUGCUCAGUAACACGUAGGUAUCUACCUUCAAGUGGGAAAUAGCCCUGCGAAAGCGGGAGUAAUGUCCCAUGUGGUCGAAAGACUAAAGAUUUAUCGCUUGAAGAUGAGCCUGCGGCCUAUCAGGUAGUUGGUGGGGUAAAAGCCUACCAAGCCUAUGACGGGUACCCGGUCUAAGAGGAUGAACGGGCAGAGGGGCACUGAGACACGGGCCUCACUCCCACGGGAGGCAGCAAUCGGGAAUUUUGCACAAUGGACGAAAGUCUGAUGCAGCGACGCCGCGUGAAGGAUGACGGCCUUCGGGUUGUAAACUUCUGAAAAUAGCACCGGCUAACUACGUGCCAGCAGCAGCGGUCAUACGUAGGGUGCAAGCAUUAUCCGGAUUUAUUGGGCGUAAAGAGUUCUGUAGGCGGCGAUGUAAGUUCAGGGUUAAAUCCUUCGGCUCAACCGAAGAACUGCUUUGAAUACUACAUUGCUAGAGAUGACUAGGGGGCACUAGAACUUACGGUGGAGCAGUGAAAUGCGUUGAUAUCGUAGGGAAUACCAAGGGGGAAGCCAAGUGCCUGGGGUUAUUCUGACGCUGAGAGACGAAAGCUAGGGUAGGGAAACGGAUUAGAUACCCGUGUACUCCUAGCUGUAAACAAUGCCUGCUAGAUACCUGGUUUUUUCUGGGUGUCGAAGCUAACGCGUUAAGCAGGCCGCCUGGGGAGUACGGCCGCAAGGCUAAAACUCAAAGGAAUUGGCGGGGGAGCAC